UGCCUUGAAACCUGCAACUGCCUCCCCUAUAUCAAUCUUGUUCGGGUUCGCUCGGACUAUGGACAUAAACGCGCAUGUAAUACACGGAUCGGACCCGGGGGCGGUACCCGGCGGCUCCACCAAUCAUCCUAUCGUUUGGGAUCUUGGGGCCGAAAUAGGAUCGACGAACGUUUAAAGAUGUAAGCUUUGUCUCGGUGAGCUACCACCGUUAUCGGUGCGAAACGUACAGUUGCAAACGACAACCGUGCUCCGGUGGCUCUUGCUGCGUAAGCAGUUCGAGUACCGAAACCUAACUCCUUGCGCCUAGCAGCGUAAGGCGGGGCCCGCAGGAGCCUUGCAACAGAAUCCUGCACC
Molecule: transfer-messenger RNA, 354 nt
Filed under: Thioclava sp. SK-1
Lineage: Bacteria; Pseudomonadati; Pseudomonadota; Alphaproteobacteria; Rhodobacterales; Paracoccaceae
Description: Alphaproteobacteria transfer-messenger RNA
Rfam family: Alphaproteobacteria transfer-messenger RNA
About the family: Bacterial tmRNA, also known as 10Sa RNA or SsrA, is named for its dual tRNA and mRNA-like properties. Its role is to liberate the mRNA from a stalled ribosome.
Source: Rfam by way of RNAcentral